RNAcentral lists this non-coding RNA (45 nucleotides) under Schistosoma mattheei. Lineage: Eukaryota; Metazoa; Platyhelminthes; Trematoda; Strigeidida; Schistosomatidae. The record is from RNAcentral.
AUCCAACUGACGAGUUCCAAAUAGCACGAAACGUGCUUCCUGAAU